RNAcentral lists this long non-coding RNA (544 nucleotides) under Mytilus galloprovincialis (Mediterranean mussel). The record is from RNAcentral. Lineage: Eukaryota; Metazoa; Mollusca; Bivalvia; Mytilida; Mytilidae.
GGAUUGCUACAGUGAAUCAAUAAGAUAGACAUAUUUUGGUUCCUAUGGGUCCUUCAUCAGGAUUGAAACUAAAGGAGAGUACAGAAUUCUGUAAUGAUAAUUUGCAUUUCACAAUGACACCAUCAGGAUAAAUUACAAAUAGGGAGUGAACGUAGAUGUGAACUUUAACUGGAUCAAGAAUGUUAAAUAAAAUAUGUUUUUGUAAAUUUGGACGACAUUUGACUUGCAAUUAUGUACCAUUACCGUGGCUGGAGAUAGUACAGACUUGCAUACCAUACCAUUUCAACACUGGAAGAAGUAUGUUUGUCUGAGCGAAGCCAAUUGGAAGCACGUACCUCUUAGUGAAGCUAAUUGGGAGCACAUACCCUCUGUCUUGUUGCGAAGCUGAUUGGAAGCAGUACAUAUAUACCUCUGUCUGCUAAAGCUAAUUAGAAGCAGUACCCCCGGCAGAGUGGUCCCAAUUAGAGGCAGUAACUCUGAGCGAAGCCAAUUGGAAGCAUGUACCUCUGCAAAAUUUGAUUAAACACUAUUCAACAAAUUUUAU